RNAcentral lists this ribosomal RNA (807 nucleotides) under Stichorchis subtriquetrus. RNAcentral describes it as "SSU rRNA". It matches the Rfam family "Eukaryotic small subunit ribosomal RNA", at positions 967 to 1723 of the family's 1831-position model. The record is from RNAcentral. Lineage: Eukaryota; Metazoa; Platyhelminthes; Trematoda; Plagiorchiida; Paramphistomidae.
UUUUCAUUGAUCUGGAGCGAAAGUCAGAGGUUCGAAGACGAUCAGAUACCGUCCUAGUUCUGACCAUAAACGAUGCCAACUGACGAUCCGUGGCGGUUCUAUUCUUGGCCCCACGGGCAGUCCCCGGGAAACCCUUAAGUCUUUGGGCUCCGGGGGAAGUAUGGUUGCAAAGCUGAAACUUAAAGGAAUUGACGGAAGGGCACCACCAGGAGUGGAGCCUGCGGCUUAAUUCGACUCAACACGGGAAAUCUCACCCGGCCCGGACACUGUGAGGAUUGACAGAUUGAUAGCUCUUUCUUGAUUCGGUGGUUGGUGGUGCAUGGCCGUUCUUAGUUGGUGGAGCGAUUUGUCUGGUUAAUUCCGAUAACGAACGAGACUUUUGCCUGCUAAAUAGUAUGCCUGUCCUCUGCGUUCGUGCAGGUCGCGGCGUCCGAUGCUCCCUCGUGGGGUAUUGGUGUCGUUGUCCGGCGGACGCGGCGCAGGUGUUUACUUCUUAGAGGGACAAGCGGCGCAAAUAGUCGCACGAAAUUGAGCAAUAACAGGUCUGUGAUGCCCUUAGAUGUCCGGGGCCGCACGUGCGCUACAAUGACGGUUUCAGCGAGUUUGGAAACCUGGCCCGAAAGGGUUGGGCAAACUGAACCAUAACCGUCGUGACUGGGAUCGGGGCUUGCAAUUGUUCCCCGUGAACGAGGAAUUCCUGGUAAGUGCAAGUCAUAAGCUUGCGCUGAUUACGUCCCUGCCCUUUGUACACACCGCCCGUCGCUACUACCGAUUGAAUGGUUUAGCAAGGUCCUCGGAUUGGUGCCA